UAGCACCAGCUUUGUUAAUGAGAGAGACUAAGUCCUUGUUAACCUUACCCACCAAGACCAUGGACACGAUCUCCAUGGUCUUAGCAUCAGUGACGCGUACGCCCUCGUGGAAGAGAGGCUGGAUGUUGAGGAGUUGGAGCCAGUGGUUGAUCUCAGGCCCUCCUCCAUGGACAAGAACAGGACGAAGGCCAACACAAGAAAGGAGGACGAGGUCACUGACCACCGAAGCCUUAAGCUCAGGAACCUUCAUAGCAGCGCCGCCAUACUUGACGACGAUGGUUUUACCCCUGAAUUUCUGGAUGUAGGGAAGGGAUUCCGACAGAAUCUCCACACGGAAGCGAUCGGGAGACUCCGACUGGGGUGUGGAGGUGGCUGUUUUGUGGGUGGUCGGCGACGAUAAGGAUGUUGCUUUGACACUGAGAGAGACCGUCUUGGGUGCAGAACGAGGCAAAAGGAAAGUGAGGUUGGAGGGAUUGAGAUUUCUGAGAUUAGGAGAUAGGAAAGAAGAGGAAAGACGGGAACUUGUAGACGAUAGAUUCAAGGGUCUGGACGCCGCCGCCAUCUCCCA
Molecule: unclassified non-coding RNA, 568 nt
Filed under: Hevea brasiliensis (rubber tree)
Lineage: Eukaryota; Viridiplantae; Streptophyta; Magnoliopsida; Malpighiales; Euphorbiaceae
Source: RNAcentral